RNAcentral lists this transfer RNA (73 nucleotides) under Zootermopsis nevadensis. It matches the Rfam family "tRNA". From Rfam's summary of the family: Transfer RNA (tRNA) molecules are approximately 80 nucleotides in length. The record is from Rfam by way of RNAcentral. Lineage: Eukaryota; Metazoa; Arthropoda; Insecta; Blattodea; Termopsidae.
GCCACGGUGGUCUAGCGGUUAGGACGCUGGCCUUGUAAUCCUGGGGUCCCGGGUUCGAUUCCCGGUGGUGCCC